UUCUCCUUGGCCUUUGGCUCAAAUCUAGUAUAGUAUCUGUUUUUAUCAAUAUAUCAAUUAAUAUGUCCUUUGCUUGAGGACUAUAUCCUGUCCUUAUUGAGGAUGGACUUGAU
RNAcentral lists this small nuclear RNA (113 nucleotides) under Terrapene triunguis (Three-toed box turtle). RNAcentral's name for it is "Terrapene carolina triunguis (Three-toed box turtle) U2 spliceosomal RNA (ENSTMTG00000016758.1)". It matches the Rfam family "U2 spliceosomal RNA". Rfam says of the family: U2 is a small nuclear RNA (snRNA) component of the spliceosome (involved in pre-mRNA splicing). Complementary binding between U2 snRNA (in an area lying towards the 5' end but 3' to hairpin I) and the branchpoint sequence (BPS) of the intron results the bulging out of an unpaired adenosine, on the BPS, which initiates a nucleophilic attack at the intronic 5' splice site, thus starting the first of two transesterification reactions that mediate splicing. The record is from Rfam by way of RNAcentral. Lineage: Eukaryota; Metazoa; Chordata; Testudines; Emydidae.